This 253-nucleotide ribosomal RNA is filed under the name uncultured bacterium. RNAcentral's name for it is "partial 16S ribosomal RNA". It matches the Rfam family "Bacterial small subunit ribosomal RNA", at positions 524 to 776 of the family's 1533-position model. The record is from RNAcentral.
UACAGAGGUCUCAAGCGUUGUCCGGAAUCAUUGGGCGUAAAGAGCGUGUAGGCGGCCCGGUAAGUCCGCUGUAAAAGUCAAAGGCUCAACCUUUGAAUGUCAGUGGAUACUGCCGGGCUAGAGUCCGGAAGAGGCGAGUGGAAUUCCUGGUGUAGCGGUGAAAUGCGCAGAUAUCAGGAGGAACACCGGUGGCGAAGGCGGGUCUCUGGGCCGAUACUGACGCUGAGGAGCGAAAGCGUGGGGAGCGAACAGG